Molecule: ribosomal RNA, 580 nt
Filed under: uncultured bacterium
Lineage: Bacteria
Description: partial 16S ribosomal RNA
Rfam family: Bacterial small subunit ribosomal RNA
Source: RNAcentral
UGGGGAAUUUUGGACAAUGGGCGAAAGCCUGAUCCGGCAAUGCCGCGUGUGUGAAGAAGGCCUUCGGGUUGUAAAGCACUUUUGUCCGGAAAGAAAUCCUUGGCUCUAAUACAGUCGGGGGAUGACGGUACCGGAAGAAUAAGCACCGGCUAACUACGUGCCAGCAGCCGCGGUAAUACGUAGGGUGCAAGCGUUAAUCGGAAUUACUGGGCGUAAAGCGUGCGCAGGCGGUUUGCUAAGACCGAUGUGAAAUCCCCGGGCUCAACCUGGGAACUGCAUUGGUGACUGGCAGGCUAGAGUAUGGCAGAGGGGGGUAGAGUUCCACGUGUAGCAGUGAAAUGCGUAGAGAUGUGGAGGAAUACCGAUGGCGAAGGCAGCCCCCUGGGCCAAUACUGACGCUCAUGCACGAAAGCGUGGGGAGCAAACAGGAUUNGAUACCCUGGUAGUCCACGCCCUAAAACGAUGUCAACUAGUUGUUGGGGAUUCAUUUCCUUAGUAACGUAGCUAACGCGUGAAGUUGACCGCCUGGGGAGUACGGUCGCAAGAUUAAAACUUAAAUGAAUUGACGGGGUCAUAGCUG